CCCUUUGGGGUGUGACUGCGUACCUUUUGUAUAAUGGGUCAGCGACUUAUAUUCUGUAGCAAGGUUAACCGAAUAGGGGAGCCGGAGGGAAACCGAGUCUUAAUUGGGCGUUAAGUUGCAGGGUAUAGACCCGAAACCCGGUGAUCUAGCCAUGGGCAGGUUGAAGGUUGGGUAACACUAACUGGAGGACCGAACCGACUAAUGUUGAAAAAUUAGCGGAUGACCUGUGGCUGGGGGUGAAAGGCCAAUCAAACCGGGAGAUAGCUGGUUCUCCCCGAAAGCUAUUUAGGUAGCGCCUCGUGAAUUCAUCUCCGGGGGUAGAGCACUGUUUCGGCUAGGGGGCCAUCCCGGCUUACCAACCCGAUGCAAACUGCGAAUACCGGAGAAUGUUAUCACGGGAGACACACGGCGGGUGCUAACGUCCGUCGUGAAGAGGGAAACAACCCAGACCGCCAGCUAAGGUCCCAAAGUCAUGGUUAAGUGGGAAACGAUGUGGGAAGGCCCAGACAGCCAGGAUGUUGGCUUAGAAGCAGCCAUCAUUUAAAGAAAGCGUAAUAGCUCACUGGUCGAGUCGGCCUGCGCGGAAGAUGUAACGGGGCUAAACCAUGCACCGAAGCUGCGGCAGCGAACGUAUCACUUAAAGCGAUUCAGCGGGUUACGAUUGACGGAGCGAAGCGACGUCAAAGCGUAUACAAAGUCGAGUCGGUUUAAGGAUACGUUCGUUGGGUAGGGGAGCGUUCUGUAAGCCUGUGAAGGUGUGUCGUGAGGCAUGCUGGAGGUAUCAGAAGUGCGAAUGCUGACAUAAGUAACGAUAAAGCGGGUGAAAAGCCCGCUCGCCGGAAGACCAAGGGUUCCUGUCCAACGUUAAUCGGGGCAGGGUGAGUCGACCCCUAAGGCGAGGCCGAAAGGCGUAGUCGAUGGGAAACGGGUUAAUAUUCCCGUACUUGGUGUUACUGCGAAGGGGGGACGGAGAAGGCUAUGUUGGCCGGGCGACGGUUGUCCCGGUUUAAGCGUGUAGGUGUGUGUUCCAGGUAAAUCCGGUUCACUUUAACACUGAGGCGUGAUGACGAGGCACUACGGUGCUGAAGCAACAAAUGCCCUGCUUCCAGGAAAAGCCUCUAAGCAUCAGGUAACAUCAAAUCGUACCCCAAACCGACACAGGUGGUCAGGUAGAGAAUACCAAGGCGCUUGAGAGAACUCGGGUGAAGGAACUAGGCAAAAUGGUGCCGUAACUUCGGGAGAAGGCACGCUGACAC
RNAcentral lists this ribosomal RNA (1256 nucleotides) under Salmonella enterica subsp. enterica serovar Paratyphi B. Its description in RNAcentral is "partial 23S ribosomal RNA". It matches the Rfam family "Bacterial large subunit ribosomal RNA", at positions 582 to 1757 of the family's 2925-position model. The record is from RNAcentral. Lineage: Bacteria; Pseudomonadati; Pseudomonadota; Gammaproteobacteria; Enterobacterales; Enterobacteriaceae.